This 498-nucleotide ribosomal RNA is filed under the name uncultured bacterium. Its description in RNAcentral is "partial 16S ribosomal RNA". It matches the Rfam family "Bacterial small subunit ribosomal RNA", at positions 899 to 1397 of the family's 1533-position model. The record is from RNAcentral.
ACUCAAAUGAAUAGACGGGGGCCCGCACAAGCGGUGGAGCAUGUGGUUUAAUUCGAUGCUACGCGAAGAACCUUACCUAGGCUUGACAUCCCGCGCUAGCCCAUGAAAGUGGGUGUUCCCUUCGGGGACGCGGUGACAGGUGCUGCAUGGCUGUCGUCAGCUCGUGUUGUGAGAUGUUGGGUUAAGUCCCGCAACGAGCGCAACCCUCGUCACUAGUUGCCAUCAUUCAGUUGGGUACUCUAGUGAGACCGCUGGGCUAUAAGCCAGAGGAAGGUGGGGAUGACGUCAAGUCCUCAUGGCCUUUAUGUCUAGGGCUACACACGUGCUACAAUGGGAGGUACAAAACGCUGCCAGCUCGCGAGAGUUAGCUAAUCGUAAAAAACCUCUUUCAGUUCGGAUUGGAGUCUGCAACUCGACUCCAUGAAGCCGGAAUCGCUAGUAAUCGCGGAUCAGCACGCCGCGGUGAAUACGUUCCCGGGCCUUGUACACACCGCCCGU